RNAcentral lists this ribosomal RNA (230 nucleotides) under uncultured bacterium. RNAcentral's name for it is "partial 16S ribosomal RNA". It matches the Rfam family "Bacterial small subunit ribosomal RNA", at positions 524 to 753 of the family's 1533-position model. The record is from RNAcentral.
UACGAAGGGGGCUAGCGUUGCUCGGAAUCACUGGGCGUAAAGCGCACGUAGGCGGAUCUUUAAGUCAGGGGUGAAAUCCCGGAGCUCAACUCCGGAACUGCCUUUGAUACUGAGGGUCUCGAGUUCGGGAGAGGUGAGUGGAACUGCGAGUGUAGAGGUGAAAUUCGUAGAUAUUCGCAAGAACACCAGUGGCGAAGGCGGCUCACUGGCCCGAUACUGACGCUGAGGUG